Molecule: ribosomal RNA, 393 nt
Filed under: Triticum aestivum (bread wheat)
Lineage: Eukaryota; Viridiplantae; Streptophyta; Magnoliopsida; Poales; Poaceae
Description: partial small subunit ribosomal RNA
Source: RNAcentral
AUGCUACCAUGCUGUUCGGUGGUGUUGCUGCUUGCUCCGAAUCAUGCAGCUUCUGCGGUAUCUCAGAGGAGACUUUCUGCUUCAGCUCCAGCAGCAGCUCCUUCCGCGUCUUCCCCUCUCUCGCAAACACCUUCUGUAGACUCCUCACCUGAUAACACCCAAAGCCAAAUCCCAAACGGAGAAGGUCAGAUAACUAGUGAUUCAGAACUGAUGGUUUUCAAAAGCUCGACUGGCGAAUGCGAAUUGACCAAGCAAUGCCCAGUUGCUCAAACCACGGCACAGCACUGCAAGACGGUUACGCCGAAAAUGCACUCGAUGUUUGCAUCGCGGUCGGCCACGGGAGCGGGGGAUUUGAGGUUUGGGGAGCAACGAGCGGCGGUUAAGUGGUGGUAA